This 484-nucleotide ribosomal RNA is filed under the name uncultured bacterium. RNAcentral describes it as "partial 16S ribosomal RNA". It matches the Rfam family "Bacterial small subunit ribosomal RNA", at positions 30 to 507 of the family's 1533-position model. The record is from RNAcentral.
AUUGAACGCUGGCGGCAGGCCUAACACAUGCAAGUCGAGCGGAUGAAGGGAGCUUGCUCCUGGAUUCAGCGGCGGACGGGUGAGUAAUGCCUAGGAAUCUGCCUGGUAGUGGGGGAUAACGUCCGGAAACGGGCGCUAAUACCGCAUACGUCCUGAGGGAGAAAGUGGGGGAUCUUCGGACCUCACGCUAUCAGAUGAGCCUAGGUCGGAUUAGCUAGUUGGUGGGGUAAAGGCCUACCAAGGCGACGAUCCGUAACUGGUCUGAGAGGAUGAUCAGUCACACACGAACAGUGACACGCGGUCGAGUCUCAUGCGAGAGACAGGUGUGGAAAAUUGUAGACAAGGGGCGAGCGUGUGAUACAGACAUGGCGCGUGUGAAGAAGGUCUUCGGAUUGUAAAGCACUUUAAGUUGGGAGGAAGGGCAGUAAGUUAAUACCUUGCUGUUUUGACGUUACCAACAGAAUAAGCACCGGCUAACUUCGUG